AAGGAUUAUGGGUGAGCACGCUUCUGAUUAGGUAGUUGGUGAGGUAACGGCUCACCAAGCCGACGAUCAGUAGGGGUUCUGAGAGGAAGGUCCCCCACAUUGGAACUGAGACACGGUCCAAACUCCUACGGGAGGCAGCAGUGAGGAAUAUUGGUCAAUGGACGCAAGUCUGAACCAGCCAAGUCGCGUGAAGGAUGAAGGUUCUAUGGAUUGUAAACUUCUUUUAGAAGAGGGUAAAACAGCGGACGUGUCCGC
This 255-nucleotide ribosomal RNA is filed under the name uncultured bacterium. RNAcentral's name for it is "partial 16S ribosomal RNA". It matches the Rfam family "Bacterial small subunit ribosomal RNA", at positions 214 to 466 of the family's 1533-position model. The record is from RNAcentral.